UAAGGAAUAUUGGUCAAUGGGCGGAAGCCUGAACCAGCCAUGCCGCGUGCAGGAUGACUGCCCUAUGGGUUGUAAACUGCUUUUGUCCAGGAAUAAACCUUUCUACGUGUAGGAAGCUGAAUGUACUGGAAGAAUAAGGAUCGGCUAACUCCGUGCCAGCAGCCGCGGUAAUACGGGGGAUCCGAGCGUUAUCCGGAUUUAUUGGGUUUAAAGGGUGCGUAGGCGGCCUAUUAAGUCAGGGGUGAAAUACGGUGGCUCAACCAUCGCAGUGCCUUUGAUACUGAUGGGCUUGAAUCCAUUUGAAGUGGGCGGAAUAAGACAAGUAGCGGUGAAAUGCAUAGAUAUGUCUUAGAACUCCGAUUGCGAAGGCAGCUCACUAAGCUGGUAUUGACGCUGAUGCACGAAAGCGUGGGGAUCGAACA
This 422-nucleotide ribosomal RNA is filed under the name uncultured bacterium. RNAcentral describes it as "bacterial SSU rRNA". It matches the Rfam family "Bacterial small subunit ribosomal RNA", at positions 355 to 774 of the family's 1533-position model. The record is from RNAcentral.